GACGAACGCUGGCGGCGUGCCUAAUACAUGCAAGUAGGACGCACAGCCUAUACCGUAGCUUGCUACACCAUAGGCUGUGAGUUGCGAACGGGUGAGUAACGCGUAGGUAACCUGCCUAUUAGAGGGGGAUAACUAUUGGAAACGAUAGCUAAUACCGCAUAACAGUAUGUAACACAUGUUAGAUGCUUGAAAGAUGCAAUUGCAUCGCUAGUAGAUGGACCUGCGUUGUAUUAGCUAGUAGGUAGGGUAAAGGCCUACCUAGGCAACGAUACAUAGCCGACCUGAGAGGGUGAUCGGCCACACUGGGACUGAGACACGGCCCAGGCUCCUACGGGAGGCAGCAGUAGGGAAUCUUCGGCAAUGGGGGGAACCCUGACCGAGCAACGCCGCCUGAGUGAAGAAGGUUU
This 407-nucleotide ribosomal RNA is filed under the name Streptococcus anginosus. RNAcentral's name for it is "bacterial SSU rRNA". It matches the Rfam family "Bacterial small subunit ribosomal RNA", at positions 28 to 417 of the family's 1533-position model. Lineage: Bacteria; Bacillati; Bacillota; Bacilli; Lactobacillales; Streptococcaceae. The record is from RNAcentral.